This 344-nucleotide long non-coding RNA is filed under the name Dermacentor andersoni. RNAcentral describes it as "uncharacterized LOC126537815". Lineage: Eukaryota; Metazoa; Arthropoda; Arachnida; Ixodida; Ixodidae. The record is from RNAcentral.
GCAUAAUACACGGACGUGCCUUGUCCCGCACAAUUACUUGUGUUUUUAAGACCAGCAGACACGUGAUCGACUUUGCAGGAAAGCGCGUGCAUACAUGCUACCGCAUGCAGCAAGCUCAUGACAACUUGGGGAGUUGAAUAUUGGCGCGAUCCAAAGGAUUAGAGGCGUAAAGAAAAUUUACGCGGGUAAAUCAAGAUGCACUCGAUGCUUAUGCUACUUGGAAGCUGGGCAUUCCUCGUGUUUUUGUCUACGCAGGGAGAUGCUGCGGAAGGUCAGUUUACCAAUUCAUUACUCGUAUUACGCGCAGGAUCUGCAAGGCAUCCAUGGGGUGUCCUGGAGAUCCU